This is a non-coding RNA of Prunus avium (sweet cherry), 907 nucleotides long. NCBI's taxonomy places the organism in Eukaryota, Viridiplantae, Streptophyta, Magnoliopsida, Rosales, Rosaceae. The record is from RefSeq and is a predicted model, not a curated record.
UCUGAGUCGCCGAACCUCUCUUUUCCUCUGCGUGAAACCUCUCUUCAGCCGUCGUCCCGCCAAAGCUCCCUCUCAGUCGUCGCGCCGUUGUCACGCAAGCAGUAGCAGUUCGUGCAGAUCAGUAUCCGUAUUUCCGGAGCAGGUUGCAGCUUCCAGCAGCAGUUCUGCCACUCUCUGAGAUUUCUGGGUCUUCAUUGGCUAAUAUUUGCCUUGUGUUGUAAUAAGCUAUUGAAGGAGGCUACAACCAUAUCACUCUGCCUUCAUACGUGUUAGUUCCUCUUAAUCUCCCUUCCUUCAAUUGUUUCUUGAUUUUGUGCUAAUUUUGUGAUCUGGGUCUCCUUUUGUUUUUCAUUUUAUGAUUCUGCUUCUUCAUAAUUUGUGCUUUUGUUAUCUAGGGUUUGAGUCUAUCAUGCAAAUUCUGAUUUUUCUCUCAGAUUGUUUUGUAUUUGAUUUGCAUUUUGUGCAAUGCUGCCACUUGUGUUUCCAUGAACCAAAACAAAUCAUGAGAAGGAACUAUACAGAGGGAUGCUAUAUUUUAUUAUGUAGAGAAUUACGAAUUUGGGUUCUGCCACUUGAGGAUGUAUAUAUAUAGCUUUUAACUCAUAUACUGUUUUGUUCUUACAUGUGUAAGGACCUAAUUUUGAGCUUUAUUAAGCUGUAUUAUGUUUUAUUAAUCUGUUUUGAGCUUUAUUACAUGUGUAAGGACCUAAUUUUAAUACAUGUCUCACUCUCAUAUCAUAAGCUUUAUUAUGUGUAAGGACCUAGUUCGAUAUUAUGAGUUCAUCCACACCUAGCACCAUAGCUCCAGCUACUUUUCAAUGUUAGGAGGAAUUUAAUGAAGUUUGAUUGAAUUUGGAUUGUAAUAUAUAUUUGGAUUGAAUUUUGGUUGUAUUUGGCUUGUAAUUUA